AGAGCCGUAGCGCAACUGGUUAGCGCACCGGCCUGUCACGUCGGAGGUUGCGGGUUCGAGUCCCGUCAGCUCUGC
RNAcentral lists this transfer RNA (75 nucleotides) under Variovorax sp. SRS16. Its description in RNAcentral is "tRNA-Asp". It matches the Rfam family "tRNA". Rfam says of the family: Transfer RNA (tRNA) molecules are approximately 80 nucleotides in length. Their secondary structure includes four short double-helical elements and three loops (D, anti-codon, and T loops). RNAcentral also lists the same sequence under 2 other names. Lineage: Bacteria; Pseudomonadati; Pseudomonadota; Betaproteobacteria; Burkholderiales; Comamonadaceae. The record is from RNAcentral.